UACGGAGGGUGCAAGCGUUAUCCGGAAUCACUGGGCGUAAAGGGUGCGUAGGCGGGUCUUUAAGUCAGGGGUGAAAUCCUGGAGCUCAACUCCAGAACUGCCUUUGAUACUGAAGAUCUUGAGUUCGGGAGAGGUGAGUGGAGCUGCGAGUGUAGAGGUGAAAUUUGUAGAUAUUCGCAAGAACACCAGUGGCGAAGGCGGCUCACUGGCCCGAUACUGACGCUGAUGCACGAAAGCGUGGGGAGCAAACAGG
RNAcentral lists this ribosomal RNA (253 nucleotides) under uncultured bacterium. Its description in RNAcentral is "partial 16S ribosomal RNA". It matches the Rfam family "Bacterial small subunit ribosomal RNA", at positions 524 to 776 of the family's 1533-position model. The record is from RNAcentral.